UACGGAGGGUGCAAGCGUUAUCCGGAUUCACUGGGUUUAAAGGGUGCGUAGGUGGGCAAGUAAGUCAGUGGUGAAAUCUCCGGGCUUAACCCGGAAACUGCCAUUGAUACUAUUUGUCUUGAAUACUGUGGAGGUCAGCGGAAUAUGUCAUGUAGCGGUGAAAUGCUUAGAUAUGACAUAGAACACCAAUUGCGAAGGCAGCUUGCUACACUACUAUUGACACUGAGGCACGAAAGCGUGGGGAUCAAACAGG
This 253-nucleotide ribosomal RNA is filed under the name uncultured bacterium. RNAcentral's name for it is "partial 16S ribosomal RNA". It matches the Rfam family "Bacterial small subunit ribosomal RNA", at positions 524 to 776 of the family's 1533-position model. The record is from RNAcentral.